CAAACGACUCUCGGCAACGGAUAUCCCGGCUCUCGCAUCGAUGAARAACGUARCGAAAUGCGAUACUUGGUGUGAAUUGCAGAAUCCCGUGAACCAUCGAGUUUUUGAACGCAAGUUGCGCCCGAUGCCAUUAGGCUGAGGGCACGUCUGCCUGGGAGUCACGU
RNAcentral lists this ribosomal RNA (164 nucleotides) under Bupleurum dalhousieanum. RNAcentral's name for it is "5.8S ribosomal RNA". Lineage: Eukaryota; Viridiplantae; Streptophyta; Magnoliopsida; Apiales; Apiaceae. The record is from RNAcentral.